AAAGAGUUUGGAUGGCCAUGCACGCAUGGGUUACUUGUAUUAGGGUUGGAUAAAAAAUUAAUGGGUGGAAAUGGUGAAGAAGCUAGUGAGAGAAGUGGGCAUAAUAGGCAUGAAAGAUGGUUAUGAAUGGUGUAGGAGGAUGUGGGCAUGGGAUUUGGUUUAGGUGGGAAAUGAAUUUCAUGAGAAGGCUUGGGAAGAAUGCUAGGGGGUCAUGUGCAUAAACUACAUGCACGUGGGAGGAUAGGAAAUGAAUGGUGGGGGAUGAGGUAGGUGGUAAGAAUAUGGGUAUGGUGAGGGGUAUAAUGGAUGAAGGGUGACGAUGUAUGCAUGGGACUUCAUGUACAUGAGGGGAUAAAAAAAUAAACAAGUGGGGGAAUGAAUGGUGGAUUGGGUGAUGGAAGGUAGUGAUGAGAUAGAUGGGUUAGAUUGGUAAGAAAGAUAAAGAGAUGAGUAUGGUAAUAGGUGUAUUGGGAUAUGAAGGUUAGGAAAAUGGUGAGAGGAAGGUGUAAAUACAUGGACACACAUGGAUUUAU
RNAcentral lists this long non-coding RNA (533 nucleotides) under Vitis vinifera (wine grape). Its description in RNAcentral is "long non-coding RNA (VVIN_LNC000226)". Lineage: Eukaryota; Viridiplantae; Streptophyta; Magnoliopsida; Vitales; Vitaceae. The record is from RNAcentral.